GCCUACGUUUGAAGACGUUGAAAAUAUAUAUUGAAUUGAGCGAUUUUGAUGUUCUGUCUGAAAUGGCAGGCAAAAUUAAAGUUGCCGAUUAACGUUACUGUAGCAAUAAAACAUACUCUGUUUGCGAGAGUGCUGCUGAUAGCAGCAGAGUGGAGGAAGAUGGAGAAAGCGACGGUCCAGCUGUGUUUAUGUGCGCCAAAUGCAAGCUACCCGUCGGCGACAGUUUGUCCUGGGCAGGCAGUGACGACCAGCAGAACGAAAUCAUGCUCAAACGGAUAUCUGACAAUGUUGUCAUAGGUAAAGAGCCCUUUGUUUCUGGUACUCGAAAGGAGCUUGGAUGAGAAACAUAUCAAAGCCAAAUAAUCUUGAUUACAAGCUCUUUUCUGCUUUAAUGUUGAAAAUAUUCUAAGUUAUGUAGUCGGCAUUUCCAGGCCAGCGGGUGCUAGAAUUAGACAGAGAAGACAGACCAGUGACCCUGGAGUACCAGGAUAUUGUGGAACAGCAGUUGACAGAGUUCCUGUCUAAUGUGCCUAGCAACACUUUCCACCAGGAGGCGGGAAAGACUAGUACAGACCCUGAAGGCACGCACCCCCAACCCUCAAAGCUGGGGUAGCAUAACAACAGCGGCUGAUGGAAUCCGUGCACCUCGGACCAACCAGAGAGCUGUAUCUAAGGGCCAUGCUGCCAUGGAAACAAAGCACACAUGCUGUCGCUAGAGCCUGUUGCCAUCGCAUCCGUCGUUUCCUUAUUUGCCGGCCAGCGAGUCAGCCAACCAGCUUGCGAGGGGGGGGUCUGUCAGUCUGAUGACGUCGCGCUUCAGUCGUUCGCAGGGGCGUGGUCUCCACCUCACCAGCAGAGAGUUCUUCAUUCUUGUGCCUUUGAACUCCUCCUAGGUUCUGCCUGUAAACCCAGAAGACUUAAAAAUAGGGACAAGAGGUAAAACGUGUGUAUAGCACAUGGCAUUAUAGCAUAAUGUUUACUGUUUGUGUCCAGUAGAGGGAAACAUCACUCUUCAUCCCUCAAAAGGCCAAUCAUAUCUAGUUGUACUAGUUGGUGAGGAGUCAUCUCAGUAAAGGCCCGUUUACACCAAUAACAAUAACUAUAAAUGAUAUCUGUAUAAGGGUUUACAACAACAGACAAUAAUUUUGUUCAUUUUAAGGGUUUUGCAGACUAAUUGUCUGGUCCAGUGGUUUUCAGUCCUAGUCCUGGACCCAGUGCUCUGCACAUUUUGUAUCUCCUUUAGGGUGUUUUCACAACUAGUUUG
Long non-coding RNA from Carassius auratus (goldfish), 1264 nucleotides. RefSeq lists it as uncharacterized. NCBI's taxonomy places the organism in Eukaryota, Metazoa, Chordata, Actinopteri, Cypriniformes, Cyprinidae. The transcript is spliced from 5 exons. The record is from RefSeq and is a predicted model, not a curated record.